This 71-nucleotide transfer RNA is filed under the name Loxodonta africana (African savanna elephant). It matches the Rfam family "tRNA". From Rfam's summary of the family: Transfer RNA (tRNA) molecules are approximately 80 nucleotides in length. Their secondary structure includes four short double-helical elements and three loops (D, anti-codon, and T loops). Lineage: Eukaryota; Metazoa; Chordata; Mammalia; Proboscidea; Elephantidae. The record is from Rfam by way of RNAcentral.
GCAGUGAGGGUUCGGUGGUAGAAUUUUCACCUUCCAUGUGGGAGACCUGGGUUCGAUUCCCAGCCAAUGCA